GUUAAAGUAGCUUAUUUAAAGUAAUAUCCUGAAGAGAUAUAGAUAGGGCAAGCCCUCGUUAGCA
This 64-nucleotide transfer RNA is filed under the name Cerion incanum. RNAcentral describes it as "tRNA-Phe". Lineage: Eukaryota; Metazoa; Mollusca; Gastropoda; Stylommatophora; Cerionidae. The record is from RNAcentral.